UACGGGGGGGGCAAGCGUUGUUCGGAAUUACUGGGCGUAAAGGGCUCGUAGGCGGCCAACUAAGUCGGAUGUGAAAUCCCCAGGCUCAACUUGGGAACUGCAUCCGAUACUGGAUGGCUUGAAUUCGGGAGAGGAUGCAGAAUUCCAGGUGUAGCGGUGAAAUGCGUAGAUAUCUGGAGGAAUACCGGUGGCGAAGGCGGCAUCCUGGACCGACAUUGACGCUGAGGAGCGAAAAGCUAGGGGAGCAAACGGGG
Molecule: ribosomal RNA, 254 nt
Filed under: uncultured bacterium
Lineage: Bacteria
Description: partial 16S ribosomal RNA
Rfam family: Bacterial small subunit ribosomal RNA
Source: RNAcentral